CUAACGGUACAGGAUGUGCUUGCACAUCGCUGACGAGUGGCGGACGGGUGAGUAAUGCUUAGGGAUCUGCCUCUGUGUGGGGGAUAACUAUUGGAAACGACAGCUAAUACCGCAUAAUGUUUACGGACCAAAGGGGGCGUUUGCUCCCGCGCAGAGAGGAACCUAAGUGAGAUUAGCUAGUUGGUAAGGUAAUGGCUUACCAAGGCGACGAUCUCUAGCUGUUCUGAGAGGAAGAUCAGCCACACUGGGACUGAGACACGGCCCAGACUCCUACGGGAGGCAGCAGUGGGGAAUAUUGCACAAUGGGGGGAACCCUGAUGCAGCCAUGCCGCGUGUGUGAAGAAGGCCUUCGGGUUGUAAAGCACUUUCAGUUGUGAGGAAAGGUUAGUAGUUAAUACCUGCUAGCUGUGACGUUAGCAACAGAAGAAGCACCGGCUAACUCCGUGCCAGCAGCCGCGGUAAUACGGAGGGUGCGAGCGUUAAUCGGAAUUACUGGGCGUAAAGCGCACGCAGGCGGUUUGUUAAGCUAGAUGUGAAAGCCCCGAGCUCAACUU
Molecule: ribosomal RNA, 554 nt
Filed under: uncultured Gammaproteobacteria bacterium
Lineage: Bacteria; Pseudomonadati; Pseudomonadota; Gammaproteobacteria
Description: bacterial SSU rRNA
Rfam family: Bacterial small subunit ribosomal RNA
Source: RNAcentral